GUGCCAACCAAACAAAUAAAUUUUAUAUCAUUAAAUAUUUUAUCAUAAACAAUAUUUCGUAGAUCUUUUUCUAGUGCGAUAAAUCAUUCUUCAUUGCAUGGUAUUUGUCCAUUCUCUAAGUUCUUGCACUCCAAGGAUCUUGUUCAGCAUCAAAACGAACACAAUCACAUUUGUAUCUAACACACUUUGCGACUCGAGGAAGCACACACUUAAUUUGAUUUUCACAUUCAGAGUCAAUAUGACAUUGAAAAUGUGCUGUAAUAAAACAAAAAUAAGAAUGUUACUAAUUAAAGGGUAUAUAACGUUUAGGUAAGAAGUAAAGAAAAAGAAAACUUAAAUGAAUAAAAAAAAGGUUUACCUUCAACGUUCAUUACAGCAAGAAAUAGAGCAAGAAAGUGGACGAUAACAUAAACAAACUUCAGACGUUUAUCCAUAUAUUCCCCCC
RNAcentral lists this long non-coding RNA (445 nucleotides) under Medicago truncatula (barrel medic). RNAcentral's name for it is "lncRNA gene9912". The record is from RNAcentral. Lineage: Eukaryota; Viridiplantae; Streptophyta; Magnoliopsida; Fabales; Fabaceae.